This 1828-nucleotide long non-coding RNA is filed under the name Brassica rapa (field mustard). RNAcentral describes it as "long non-coding RNA (BRAP_LNC000808)". Lineage: Eukaryota; Viridiplantae; Streptophyta; Magnoliopsida; Brassicales; Brassicaceae. The record is from RNAcentral.
AAAGGCAAAGAUGGCCACGUCUCUCUCUACUGCAAAUAAGGUAGUUCUUCUGUCUUCACCAUGAAGCAAACACGAGUUUUGACAGAAGAGACGAACACACACAGACAAACACAAUCUUUUGACAGAAGAGACUAACACACACAAACUCUCUACGAUUCUCUCUCAAAGAAGGUACAAAGAUCCAUAAUUAGUAUGUCUUAAAUAUAUAUUUUUACUUAAAUCUAACCGUAGUUUUACACACGGGGUCUCUCAGCCAGAGAGAAUGAAGAUAUACAACGUUCACCCUUAUAGGGGAAUAGUUCGAUAACUUAUUUUUGUUUUUAGUCACAAGUUUUGGACUUAAGGUGGCUAAUAAAGCAGUCGGAGAGUUACCGGACGAUUGAUGUCAGAGAUUUGUCCAGGUGACAUCUCCAUUUUAUCAGCUUCGGCUCCCGCAAGAUUAUUCUUCUCCAUCUGUAAUAUAGUUUUAGGUCAAAACCAUUUAUAGUCAUUAAUUAACACAAAGAAAAUUCUUUUCCCACCAACCAUCAAAAAUAUAUAGCAAUCUGGUUUUCAUAAUUUGUCGAGCUUUUAGGGUCUUUCAUCAAGCUUAUAACGAAUCUCAAAUCAUGUAUAUAUAUCUACUUUUUCCUGAUUAACCUGAACAAGUAAAACUGAAAAACUAAGACUACUUGAAACUAACCAAUCGGAUCCCAACCUAAACCGUAACAGUAAACAAUCAUUCAGUUUCAUAAAUCUCUAACCAAAUUACCAAAACAGAAUGAUGUCCAACAACCUGAAAAGAAAUUAUUUUGACUUUACCCAAAUGACAUAUGAGAUUAUUUAGUUUUUCUUCUUCUUUUGGUUAAGAAUUGUUUAGGUAGUCGUGAAUAUAAAAAUGUACACAAACUUCGGUUUUUUCUUCCAGAUCCAGGCUUCAUUCGAUUUGGAUAUAUAAUCAGUAAAACUCAGAACCCUUAAGUUUAAGGAAAUGCUGCAUCCUCUAACUUCAAAGAACUAUACUACUUUUAGGAAUUAGGGUUUAAGACUUUUGUUGAAGUAUUAAGGUUUAUGACAGAGUUUAGGUUUUACUUUUAGCGUUAGGGUUUUAACUGUUUUACUAAUUUAUAAUAAUCCAAAUUAGAACCAAACCAAAAUUUUCCCCAACCAAAUCCAGACCAAUCAUUUUUGGUUUUCAUACAGUAAUACUCUCAUCAAAAUUAAGAUAAACCAAAAUGCCCUAAUCUCGACAUAUUCUUUUCUAUAAUACCUUAAGUAUAAUAUCUAUUGUACAUGUUAUAUCUGCAAGUAUAAGAGUAUGUGUAAAAGUGCUUGUUAGCUUUUGCAUAUAUGAAGAAUGUAGCUUUGUUACCUGGCUAGCCAAACCCUGGUUCUCUUCUUUCAGCAAUUUCUCCUGUUUUAAAGGUCAACAUGAUUAUCACUUACCAAGUUUCUAAACCUAAUUUCAGAUUCUAGAACCCAAAUCAUUUGCAUCAUCCCCAAAAAGACUACAUGAACUGUGAAGAAGUUUAAUGUAGAUUUGCCAGCUCAUAAAGCACACUUAGGGAAACUAAUACAAUACGCAAAAGUUUUGAGGCUCUCGACACAAGGUAAGAUAUCUAAUUAAGUGCUAUAAAAUAAGAUAUCUAACCUUUUCUUUGAGGCUAUCAACAAGCUUCAACAUUAGUUCUGUCUGCAACGGAUUAAAUAUAAGCGCUCUGAAAGUAAGAAAAAAAAAGAGAUUUUGUAGUGAACGUACCUUCCUAGCUCUAGUUACGGAGAGGGCAGUCUCAAGGUGGUCCUCCAGCUGAACGAGGGAGUCGACGCUUACAUCAGAAUUUGAUUCCAC